GGCGUCGCGGAGCUCGGGCCGGUGGAAGGUUUACCUGCUAGGCUCGUCCCACCUGUGUGGAGCUCCCAUCGCCCUCCAGCGUUGCGCAGCCUGAAGGGACAGGACGGACAAGCGGGUGCCUCCUUCUAAUUCAUCUUCACCAUUGUGGUUGUCAAUAUGGCAUGCAGAAUUAUCCCUCUUUCCAGCUUCUGGAGUCUACCUGGAUUCCUGGGCUCAUGGCCCCUUCCUCCAUCUUCAAACCAGCAAUGAUGGAGCUGAGCCUGACACUCUAACCGGUUCUCUGGGUGUACUGCAAAGGUCUAAUAAAAGGCACCUUUGCCCGGUUGCUUCAAUUCUAGGAAGCUGUUCAAUGUUUGACUAUAUUUCUCCAUACUCAUUUGAAAACAGUUCAUCAGAUUGGAACGACCUGGAGCAGCCAGCAGAGUGACAAAUGAGGAAGAGGACAGAAUCUAGCUGAAGAAGCUCUGGAAGAUACCAUUUGAAGUCUUGAGUGCUUGAACUCACAAAGAAAGCACAUGAGUACACACUAGCACUUGAGCUCUUCAUUUUAAACAGAAUAAAGAAUGUACUGCUAUUAUUGUCAUUUUACAGAUAGGGAAAUUCAGACUCACCAGGGCUACUCAGAUACAAAGAAAAUGAGCCAGAAUUUCAAGCAAGCCUGAGCUUAGAAUCUACACUAUUUUUUUUUUUUUUUUUGAGACAUGGUCUUACUUUGUCACCCAGGCUGGAGUUCAGUGGUAUUAGGUUGGCACAAAAGUAAUUGUGGUCUCUGCCACUUAAAACUAGAGCCCGAAACUGCAAUUACUUUUGCACCAACCUAAUGCACUUACCAGAGCUCACUUACGCCUUGACCUCCUGGGCUCAAGUGAUUCUCCCACCUCAGCCUCCCAAGUGGCUGGGAAUGUGGGCAUGCACCACCCUGCCCGGCUAGCUUUUCUUUCUUUUUUUUUUGUGGAGACAGGAUUUUGCCAUGUUGUCCCGGCUGGUCUUUAACUCCUGAGCUCAAACUAUCCUUCUGCCCUGGCCUCCCAAAGUUCUGGGAUUACAGGCAUGAGCCACUGUGCCCGGCCCAGAACCUAUGCUCCUAACUGCCACACCAAUUGACCUCUAUUCAGCCAUUUUUAUUUCUAUAGCACUUGGUAUAAUUUCACUUUGCACACAGUAUCUAUAGAUAAUCAUUCCAGGGCAUGUAAUCGUCAUAAGAUUAUUUAUGUUAUUGCAUGUGUAUUACUGCAUGUAAUCUUCAUGUGUUAUUGCCUCUAACAAGUUAUGUAUUUCCAUGUAGUCUUCAUAACUGUGUAUAGAAGACCAUUUUAGAGAUGGAAAACUGAGACUCAGAAGUGGUAAUUGUCCUACUGGUCAGAGAUUUAGCCAGGGUUUGGAUUGUGGAAUGCAGAGGACCACUUACUUUUCACUAGACCAUAAAUGCUCCUCACCACUGAGGCAUGUCAAAUGCCAGAUAUCUCCAGGAACCUUAGGCUACGUCUCCAUUGUUUUUGCUUUUUCCCCCCUUAGACACAGCUUGGCAAAGAACAAAUGAUCCCAAACACCAAACAGCACACUUGGAAACAUUUAACCCGCAUACUUUCAGACUUUCUGGCAUGGACCAACCUCUUGUCUUACCUUUGUUCCUGGCCAGAAAGAAAUGGCAUGAAAAGAUGGACAGUUUUUAUAACCUCUUUGAGCUCUAAACCAUGUUUCCUGUGCACUUAGGAGAUCUUAAUAGAAACCAAGUACUUCUUUUAGGCAUCUAUACUCUUAAUGCCGUAAGUCAAGUCAAGUACCCAGGUGGUUAAGAUAACUGUACCAACAGAAACAUUUUUAAAAAAUAUCCUAACACAACAUGAAGUGACCAUCGCGAAUUCAAAGAAGCAGGCAUAUUUCUUAAAGGUUGAAAAGAGGUGAGUCUUUCACAAGAUUCUAGCUCAAGGCCAUAUUUGCACAAGUAUAGUCAUUCCUCUAGCAAGGUUUUGUUUAUCUGGCCAUUAAAAAAAAUUAAAACAA
Molecule: long non-coding RNA, 2004 nt
Organism: Homo sapiens (human)
Lineage: Eukaryota; Metazoa; Chordata; Mammalia; Primates; Hominidae
Gene: MAFTRR
Product: MAF transcriptional regulator RNA
Source: Ensembl